Molecule: non-coding RNA, 2260 nt
Organism: Poecilia reticulata (guppy)
Lineage: Eukaryota; Metazoa; Chordata; Actinopteri; Cyprinodontiformes; Poeciliidae
Source: RefSeq, a predicted model, not a curated record
CCCCCUGGAGGCCCCCCUGGUGGCCCCCCUGGUGGCCCCCAGCCUCCAGGCUCUGUGUUACGGCCCUGCGUUUGCUGGCGGCACACAGAGCUCCUCCUGCAGCUCCACAGCUCAGACGGCUGCUGCACAGACUGGGACUCUGAUCUUCAUGUUCAUUAUUAUAGUGGCGUUUAGUCGCACAGCUUUACUGACUCGCUCAUUCGUGGCUGUUUCCACGUUUUUACGCUGCUCAUGUUAGUCUGGAUGUUUCUGGAGCGCGAAGCUCCACGUCGUUCAGCUAAUAUAGUAACUUUAACAGAGACUCAGCGGGACGGAUCAUCCGGGAAACGAUGGACAGGGAGAGUCUGACURAAACCACCGUAAUGACGGACAAAGUCUGGGAUUCACUGAGUCUCUGCUUAAAAUAUCUGACUAGAACAGUUAAACUCAUUAUUAAGACAAAGAGCCGAAUUCAUAAAACCAGAAGGAAUUAUUAUUUUAAUGGCUGUAGACCGAGCCUGAAGACUGAAACAGAAUGAGAAAUACUCCAACAUCAUGGCCAUUCGGUCACCUACCGGUACCCUAACUGAACCUGCGAAAUUAAUUCUGCAUUCAAAACGUAUUUCUCUUCCCUUUACUCCUCUGAAGUAGUUCUGAAAGCUGAAAAUGUGAGCAUUUUUUCAGGAAUCUUCAGCUUCCUGCUGUUGCUGAUCAGGGAUCAGAAAAACUUCUGCAUUACGUUACAAGAGCUGAAAAAAGCCCAAAGUCUCUAUGAGGAAAGUGUUGGGAUCUGGGGUGCUGCUUGUUUUUGGCUGUGUUUCCCCCUUUCUCCACCAGAGGGCGGCUGGGAUCCAUUCUGGAAGGACGUGACUGACGGUGCUGGUUACCUACACACCUGCAGGUGAUCCAUUGUGACUGAUUCCCACUAGCAGUCUGAAUACUGACAGUCUCCCUGUGCUCCAUUCUUCUCAUGACGCCGUGGGCCUUACCCACUGGAAGCCCGAGUCCCACUUACCUCCAAGCCGUUGAACCAAACCUCUCUGGAUCCCUCUGUUGGCCCCUCUCUCCUGAAAGGCAGAACUGUUACCUGUCCGCCCUCCACCAUGAUCUCUCUCCUGUCGCUGUUCCCCGCCGGAUCACAGCCUACCUACCGUUGUUGAACGCCACCCCGGUAACCUCAGUAUUUCCCUCCUGCAUACUACUCCCUCCAUCCAACGUUCCUGAUUCCAGAAGCCACAAACUCUUGGAUCUGCAGUUUUGAUUAUUGUUUAUUUUUUUAUUGAACAUAUUUAACUAAUUUUCUGUUCUGCAUGUGGGUCAGAAAAACACAACAGACUGUGACAGAAGGGUAAAUGUGUCCCUCCAGAGUUGUACCUUGCCUUCUGGGAUAUACUCGGCCCACCAUUGUUGGACAUGGUUAAUGAGGCAGUUGAUAAAGGUUCAUUUAAUCCGAGUAUCAAUACCGCAAUGAUCACAUUGCUUCUCAAACCUAAUAAAGACCCAGCACCAUGCAGUAACUACAGACCCGUCCCUCUUAAAUGGGGAUGUCAAACUCUAUGCAAAAAUACAUGCAAUGCGACUUGAAAGCCAUUUAUCCAGACUGAUACAUAAUGAGCAGACCGGAUUUAUUAAAGGCAGAUUGGCAUCUGACAAGCUACGGCGCUUGCUACACAUUAUUCACGCAGCAAAGACAACUGAUUCCCCGUCCUGUCUUGUCUCUCGACGCCGUAAAAGCGUCUGACAGACUGGAGUGGCUUUAUCUUUGGGCCACCUUGGAUAAAUUUAAACUAGGUCUGCAAUUUAUCCAAAAGUAAAGGUUCUGUAUGCUGACCCGUCUGCGAUGGUGUGUACUGGUAAUACUUGUUCUUCUCUGCUCCCCAUACUAAGGGCCACAUGUCAGGGCUGCCCCCUCGAACCGCUGGUCCAUCGCACCGAGCAUCGCAUAUCUUUAUAUGCGGACGAUAUUUUACUUUACAUUGGUGACACAGGGUCCUCUUUAACACAUCUACUAUCCAUCUUUGAUCUGUUUGGCUCCAUAUCUGGCUAUAAAAUUAACUGGAGCAAGUCGUCAUUGCUGCCUCUUGCCAUCUGGCAUCCCAGUGGGGAGCCAUUUUAAAUAUCUUGGGAUCGACAUCUCUCCCUCUAUAUUUCUGAUAGCUUCACACAACUUCCAGCCUGCAUUUAGAAAAACCAUUACAGGCUGGACAUGAUGACCAAAUGUCUGAUUAAAACCUGCUCUGCCAGCUCAGUGACCUCUUUCUCACUGUUUAUUUAAUGUCAG